UACGUAGGUGGCAAGCGUUGUCCGGAUUUACUGGGUGUAAAGGGCGUGCAGCCGGGAAGACAAGUCAGAUGUGAAAUCCCGCGGCUCAACCGCGGAACUGCAUUUGAAACUGUUUUUCUUGAGUAUCGGAGAGGUAACCGGAAUUCCUAGUGUAGCGGUGAAAUGCGUAGAUAUUAGGAAGAACACCAGUGGCGAAGGCGGGUUACUGGCCUGUAACUGACACUGAGGCUCGAAAGCGUGGGGAGCAAACAGG
This 253-nucleotide ribosomal RNA is filed under the name uncultured bacterium. RNAcentral's name for it is "partial 16S ribosomal RNA". It matches the Rfam family "Bacterial small subunit ribosomal RNA", at positions 524 to 776 of the family's 1533-position model. The record is from RNAcentral.